GGGGGGAGGCAGGAUCCUGGGCUGUGUCCCCACGCCCUGUGCUGCCGGGCCUGCACUGUUGGAUUCGCGCUCCCCGACGCGCAGCCCCGACU
RNAcentral lists this microRNA precursor (92 nucleotides) under Canis lupus familiaris (dog). RNAcentral describes it as "mir-8799 microRNA precursor family". It matches the Rfam family "mir-8799 microRNA precursor family". The record is from Rfam by way of RNAcentral. Lineage: Eukaryota; Metazoa; Chordata; Mammalia; Carnivora; Canidae. RNAcentral also lists the same sequence under 1 other name.